ACCCCGAUCCCCCGAUCCAGUCCCACUCUUCACGACGAAAGCCCACGUACGAAAAAAGCCCGCAUAGGAAAAAAAAAACCACCCCCAUGCCUCUCGCCUGGAGCAGUCGAACCGCCUCCUCGCGCCGCCGCCGCAACGGGCCGCGAGCCGUCCGCAGGCGUGCCGCUUCUAGGAUGGUGGCGGAUCCAAAUGGACGACGGCGGCAGCGGGAUCCAACUUCACCUCGCACGCAUCCCCGACCCCCAGCCGGCGGCCGGAUCCGUUCACAGCCACCGUGCGGGUCGCGGCCACCAGGAUCUUCGUCUAGCCACACGAGGCUUCCCUCGCCCGUGGCGCUAGGUCACGGCCUCGCCACCGCUGGCUCGCCAUCCGGGCGCCCGUCCGUCGCUGACUCGGCAUCUCCAACUUUCCCUGCCCAAAAGGCCUCCCCCGACUCCCAGUAUGGGCACAGGCGGCAGCGGGCAGCCCCCAAUCUGUAGGGCUUUUGUCCCAACUACACCCCAAAUUUGUGUUGUUUGAUGUUAUUUCUCUUGCCUCUGUCGCCGUCUCACGAAGCCUCAGCAGCUGCCAUCGCCGUGUGAUUCGAUCCGCAGAUUUUCGAAAGGUGCAUCAAAAUAAUUAUAUACAUUUAUGUGUGCAUUGCUAUGUAGAAGAUAUCCUUAUUUAAAUUACCCAGUUGCUUGAGUAUACAAUUUCUACCAGCUUCAUUUGGAAAGGGUAAUAUCUUCCAUACAAUUGGCAAAUGGAUUUUAAUAUGUAUCUUGCAUAUUUAUGUGAUUUCAAUUAACUCUUGCAUGUCAGGUCAAUCUGAGAAAUUGAACAUUAAACCCGUGGUUGGAUUCUUCUGUUUCUUUGGUACAUGCAAGGCAAUAAAUAUAGGUGAAAAUAAGUAAGAGGGGCAAUAAGCAUCAAAACAUACAUCAUAUUGGACAAAAUGGGAAGCAACAUAUUUAUAGCUAAAUCUGGAUGCUGUGUCAUUUCAUUCUCGUGCACGGCUGAAACUUCUGUGAAUUGAAAGCUCACAUAGCCUAAAUAUCACUUUUAGCUAUGGACAAAGAUCUCACUAUAGUUAGAUUCAGUCGAAGAACUCUGGAUACUUAGGUCAGCACUUCCAGUUAAAAUAUCCUUAGGUUCAUCUUUCAUGUGAUUCUGGUCUGUAAUUUUCCCUGUCAUGCUGAUUUAGUCUAUAAUCAUGUGCGAUUUUGAGUUGCUUGUUUUCCCUUUGGUACUAUAAGGGCAUCUUUCAUGCUUUGUCUACAAUUUGUAGAGAUGAGGGUGGCAAAUUAUUGUAUAGGUCUUGGCCCACGUUAUUGGUAAGCUUUGUUUAAAGUUGGGUUGCCAUGUUGAAAACUGCUUCCAGCCUUUUCAUUUUCAUGUCACUCUUUGUAUUACUGUCGUAACUUAGGAUCUUGAGGUAACUCAUGAGUUGUAGGACAUGACGAGCUGCACCAUGAUGGUCAAUUUGCUGUAUGAAAUCACCGAAGGGAUGACUUCAGAUGAGUUAAUAACUUCAAAGGUCGUAACAAUGUUUGUAUAUGAAGGAAAUGUCACAUGCCUCAUGAUGACUUUAUUUAAUUUGUUUUUAUGCUUAUUAUUAUAUUUGGCUAUGGUGAGAUAUACGCUGUCAAAAAUAGCAUAUGAGUUUAGCCUCAGUGCUUGUAUUCUUAUGCUGUGUAUUUGUGUCUUUUAGGAUUUUACUGAUGUCUUGAUAGUUUGAUCAAUUUAUCUUGUGCAUUAUGUGUGGUA
This is a long non-coding RNA of Brachypodium distachyon (stiff brome), 1746 nucleotides long. RefSeq lists it as uncharacterized. The transcript is spliced from 2 exons. The record is from RefSeq and is a predicted model, not a curated record. Lineage: Eukaryota; Viridiplantae; Streptophyta; Magnoliopsida; Poales; Poaceae.